GUUCUUCCUUUGGUAGCACGUAUACUAAAACUAGAACAAUACAGAGAUUAGCAUGGCCUCUGUGCAGUUAUGGCACACACAUUCAUGAAGCAUUGCAUAUUUUC
Molecule: small nuclear RNA, 104 nt
Organism: Marmota marmota marmota (Alpine marmot)
Lineage: Eukaryota; Metazoa; Chordata; Mammalia; Rodentia; Sciuridae
Source: Ensembl